GUCCUUGUAAUGCACUCGGAGAUUUUUAAAGGUCAACAACAUGCGCGCUAGCUAACACGCGUCAGGUGACUUUCAGAAAGAAAUAACACAUGUCAUGUGGUUUAGAAGAAACCAGACUCAAGCAUCGUCGCAGCUUAUCUCCUCAGUUUUGCUGGCUGUCCCCAAGUUAUGUCCAUAUCCCAACCCCAUGACCUCCCGGGACACGCCGCCGCUACCGCCUGCCGCCCCACGACCGCCGCUGCCGCCUGCCGCCCACCGCGGUCGGGAACCGGCCCCCCAGCUUGACGAACGCGCUGGGAUCCUUCCUUCCGCGCGUCCCCCGCACGCAGCCGAAUCCCCCACUCCACCGGCCAUGGCGCAGGCACACACCCGCUCGCCAUGGUGGGCUCUUCUCCAGAGGAGCUGGCUCCGGCCCGCUAGAGGCCGCCAUUGAGGCUGCAGCAGUCUCAGUUUUCUUCAGAUCCUCCUAGAUGUGGGCACACAAAUGCUUCAGAUCGGCUCUCUCUGUCCUCCCGCUCAGGGGGCUGCAGUAGCUUGUCCAGUGUGGCGCGGAGGCCGGCGGCGACGACCUCGUGGCUCUUGGCGACGCCAAGCCACGCCCGGUCCUCUGUCAUCAUCUGUCGGAGCCUCUCCUCCAGUUCGCCGUUGCGGUAGCGCGCGCACUCCAGUUCAACCACUACGGCCUGAAGCCGCCCCGCCGCAGCGUGCUCCACACCAGCCAACACCGCCCUCGCGUGUCGCCGGCUCGCCGCAACGCCUUGGUCCGCCGCGCCCUCCAACGCCCGUCGCUACGCCUCGGUCCGCGCGCUACAACGCCCGCCGCGACGCCUCGCCCCAUUCCUGGGCUCGGGCGGCGCGGACGCGCGCCGCGACGCAUCCCCCUGCCUUGGCUUAUUCGGCGUCGACGCCGGCGGCAAGCGGCGGGGCGUACUUGGCGGUUCAGUGGAGGCAGGCAAUGGAUAAGUGGUGGAGGUGGCCAGUGGUGGCAGGUUUUUUUUGCAAAAAACGAAACGUUAUCCAGAUUUAAGUAGGACCGCGGGUUAAUUUCUAAGAAACAGGGGGACUUGUUUGCAAAACAACCAAUGACGGACGACCAGAAGCGAUCGCUGGUUUAUUAGUAGGGAAAGAUAUAUAUAACACUUUCACAAAAAGAACCCCCCUUUAGGAGUAGACAUAAAAACAGAUAAAGUGGAAAAAAAUCUAAAAAGCAAGAAAAGUUCCUAAAUCGGAUUUCAGGAUACACUUAUUUGGGCUGGCCCAUUUAGCCUUAUUGGGUCCUCUAUUCAUCGAAUCCGGACCUAUUAGGGUUUCACGUUGCGCUUUUAUAUUCGACCAAUCCUCCGUCUCAAACCCACCCCCUUCGUCGCCGCCGCCUGUUUCAUCUUCGAUUUGAGGUUCGUAGAUGCGACUUUCUUCCGAGUACUUUUUCGCCUACUCCCUCCAUCCAGAUUCUGACGUUAGAUUUGUCAAUUGAAGUUGCGCAAUAGGAGUAGGAUUGUGGAUGAAUUAGUUAUUACUUAUUUUACAACGGAUUAUUCUGAUCUCGGGAUCUGUAUUCCUGUUGACCCCAUCUAUAUUCCUGUUGGUGGCAGGCUCUUUGCUCUUGCUGCUGGCUCAUUCCAGCUGCUCUAUCCGCCGCCAGAAGAUGAGUCUGACUGGGAUGACUUUGUGUGUACGUGGCACACCCUCCCGGAGCCGCCUUUUUUGCACGAACUUGUAACUUGCUGUGCUGUGCAUAGCGAUCAACACACCAUCUUUGUCAGCACAGGAGAGCAUGACCCUGCCACCUUCAGCUUUGACACGGAGAUGGAAGGUGAUGGUGAGUGGAAGCGUCAUGGCCGCUGGAGGAUGCCGUUCAUUGGCCGUGCUUACUUUGUCCCUGAGUUGGAUCUCUGGGUUGGGCUUGGCAAACACAGACGGAUCUUCGCAAUUGAUGUGGUAUCUGAAGAACCUGAUGCUGUGCAUGUUGAGCGUUAUGUGGACCUUCCCUUUAAGGUGUGCGUGGACAAACCGAGCUGCUGCCAUUUUACAGAUCAGGAGCCCAUCGGAGCCACCCUCCUUAGCAUGGGUGGUGGGAGCACUUUUUGCCUCCUUGAGUACUUCGGUGUGAAUGAGAUGGAGCGUAUCAUGCGAUUGAUGACAUUUUCUCUCAAAUAUGACAAGUAUGGAGACCUGACGAUGGGCAAAAGCAUCCAGACUCGGUACAACAGGGUGCCAUCUGAAGUUAGUUUGUCGACGCUUAAGACUCCGGUGGCUUUCUGGAUGUAAAAACCGUGGUAAUGUUUGGUUGAUGUAACCCCAGGUUGUAGUUGUGAGGAGUUAGUGAUCUUGUUGUUUUGGUGUGUACUACCAUCUCAAUUAGUAGUUAUGUAACUUAGACUGAGAUAUUGCUGUUAUUUUCUAGUACGUCUUUUGUUGUUUGGGUAUAAUUUCCGUGUGUACUUUUAUUUUUUGAAAUGGAUUUCUGUGUGUACUUUGGUA
Molecule: long non-coding RNA, 2481 nt
Organism: Triticum aestivum (bread wheat)
Lineage: Eukaryota; Viridiplantae; Streptophyta; Magnoliopsida; Poales; Poaceae
Exons: 2
Source: RefSeq, a predicted model, not a curated record